GGUUAAGUUAGAAAGGGCGCACGGUGGAUGCCUUGGCACUAGGAGCCGAUGAAGGACGGGACGAACACCGAUAUGCUUCGGGGAGCUGUAAGCAAGCUUUGAUCCGGAGAUUUCCGAAUGGGGAAACCCACCACUCGUAAUGGAGUGGUAUCCAUAUCUGAAUACAUAGGGUAUGAGAAGGCAGACCCGGGGAACUGAAACAUCUAAGUACCCGGAGGAAGAGAAAGCAAAUGCGAUUCCCUGAGUAGCGGCGAGCGAAACGGGAUCAGCCCAAACCAAGAGGCUUGCCUCUUGGGGUUGUAGGACACUCUGUACGGAGUUACAAAGGAACGAGGUAGAUGAAGAGGUCUGGAAAGGCCCGCCAUAGGAGGUAACAGCCCUGUAGUCAAAACUUCGUUCUCUCCUGAGUGGAUCCUGAGUACGGCGGAACACGUGAAAUUCCGUCGGAAUCCGGGAGGACCAUCUCCCAAGGCUAAAUACUCCCUAGUGACCGAUAGUGAACCAGUACCGUGAGGGAAAGGUGAAAAGCACCCCGGAAGGGGAGUGAAAGAGAUCCUGAAACCGUGUGCCUACAAGUAGUCAGAGCCCGUUAACGGGUGAUGGCGUGCCUUUUGUAGAAUGAACCGGCGAGUUACGAUCCCGUGCAAGGUUAAGCAGAAGAUGCGGAGCCGCAGCGAAAGCGAGUCUGAAUAGGGCGAAUUGAGUACGUGGUCGUAGACCCGAAACCAGGUGAUCUACCCAUGUCCAGGGUGAAGUUCAGGUAACACUGAAUGGAGGCCCGAACCCACGCACGUUGAAAAGUGCGGGGAUGAGGUGUGGGUAGGGGUGAAAUGCCAAUCGAACCUGGAGAUAGCUGGUUCUCUCCGAAAUAGCUUUAGGGCUAGCCUCAAGGUAAGAGUCUCGGAGGUAGAGCACUGAUUGGACUAGGGGCCCCUACCGGGUUACCGAAUUCAGUCAAACUCCGAAUGCCGAUGACUUAUCCUUGGGAGUCAGACUGCGAGUGAUAAGAUCCGUAGUCGAAAGGGAAACAGCCCAGACCGCCAGCUAAGGUCCCAAAGUAUACGUUAAGUGGAAAAGGAUGUGGAGUUGCUUAGACAACCAGGAUGUUGGCUUAGAAGCAGCCACCAUUUAAAGAGUGCGUAAUAGCUCACUGGUCGAGUGACUCUGCGCCGAAAAUGUACCGGGGCUAAACGUAUCACCGAAGCUGCGGACUGUUCUUCGAACAGUGGUAGGAGAGCGUUCUAAGGGCUGUGAAGCAAGACCGGAAGGACUUGUGGAGCGCUUAGAAGUGAGAAUGCCGGUAUGAGUAGCGAAAGAGGGGUGAGAAUCCCCUCCACCGAAUGCCUAAGGUUUCCUGAGGAAGGCUCGUCCGCUCAGGGUUAGUCGGGACCUAAGCCGAGGCCGAAAGGCGUAGGCGAUGGACAACAGGUUGAUAUUCCUGUACCACCUCCUCACCAUUUGAGCAAUGGGGGGACGCAGGAGGAUAGGGUAAGCGCGGUAUUGGAUAUCCGCGUCCAAGCAGUUAGGCUGGGAAAUAGGCAAAUCCGUUUCCCGUGAAGGCUGAGCUGUGAUGGCGAGCGAAUUAUAGUAGCGAAGUUCCUGAUUCCACACUGCCAAGAAAAGCCUCUAGCGAGGUGAGAGGUGCCCGUACCGCAAACCGACACAGGUAGGCGAGGAGAGAAUCCUAAGGUGAUCGAGAGAACUCUCGUUAAGGAACUCGGCAAAAUGACCCCGUAACUUCGGGAGAAGGGGUGCUCUGUUAGGGUGCAAGCCCGAGAGAGCCGCAGUGAAUAGGCCCAGGCGACUGUUUAGCAAAAACACAGGUCUCUGCGAAGCCGUAAGGCGAAGUAUAGGGGCUGACGCCUGCCCGGUGCUGGAAGGUUAAGAGGAGCGCUUAGCGUAAGCGAAGGUGCGAAUUGAAGCCCCAGUAAACGGCGGCCGUAACUAUAACGGUCCUAAGGUAGCGAAAUUCCUUGUCGGGUAAGUUCCGACCCGCACGAAAGGCGCAACGAUCUGGGCACUGUCUCAACGAGAGACUCGGUGAAAUUAUAGUACCUGUGAAGAUGCAGGUUACCCGCGACAGGACGGAAAGACCCCGUGGAGCUUUACUGCAGCCUGAUAUUGAAUGUUGGUACAGCUUGUACAGGAUAGGUAGGAGCCUUGGAAACCGGAGCGCCAGCUUCGGUGGAGGCAUCGGUGGGAUACUACCCUGGCUGUAUUGACCUUCUAACCCGCCGCCCUUAUCGGGCGGGGAGACAGUGUCAGGUGGGCAGUUUGACUGGGGCGGUCGCCUCCUAAAAGGUAACGGAGGCGCCCAAAGGUUCCCUCAGAAUGGUUGGAAAUCAUUCGCAGAGUGUAAAGGCACAAGGGAGCUUGACUGCGAGACCUACAAGUCGAGCAGGGACGAAAGUCGGGCUUAGUGAUCCGGUGGUUCCGCAUGGAAGGGCCAUCGCUCAACGGAUAAAAGCUACCCCGGGGAUAACAGGCUUAUCUCCCCCAAGAGUCCACAUCGACGGGGAGGUUUGGCACCUCGAUGUCGGCUCAUCGCAUCCUGGGGCUGUAGUCGGUCCCAAGGGUUGGGCUGUUCGCCCAUUAAAGCGGUACGCGAGCUGGGUUCAGAACGUCGUGAGACAGUUCGGUCCCUAUCCGUCGCGGGCGCAGGAAAUUUGAGAGGAGCUGUCCUUAGUACGAGAGGACCGGGAUGGACGCACCGCUGGUGUACCAGUUGUUCUGCCAAGGGCAUCGCUGGGUAGCUAUGUGCGGACGGGAUAAGUGCUGAAAGCAUCUAAGCAUGAAGCCCCCCUCAAGAUGAGAUUUCCCAUUCCGCAAGGAAGUAAGAUCCCUGAAAGAUGAUCAGGUUGAUAGGUCUGAGGUGGAAGUGUGGCGACACAUGGAGCUGACAGAUACUAAUCGAUCGAGGACUUAACCAA
This 2930-nucleotide ribosomal RNA is filed under the name Bacillus velezensis. Its description in RNAcentral is "23S ribosomal RNA". It matches the Rfam family "Bacterial large subunit ribosomal RNA". The record is from RNAcentral. Lineage: Bacteria; Bacillati; Bacillota; Bacilli; Caryophanales; Bacillaceae.